CUUGGCAUUUAGAGGAAGUAAAAGUCGUAACAAGGUUUCCGUAGGUGAACCUGCGAAGGAUCAUUAAAGAAUGCCCCGUUUUUUGAAAUGGGUUCUAUUCCCAACCGUGUAUACAUACCUUUGUUGCUUUGGCAGGCCGCCUUCGGGCGUUGCUCACGCUGACCGCGCCUGCCAGAGGACCCAAACUCGUUUGUUUAGUGAGUCUGAGUACUAUAUAAUAGUUAAAACUUUCAACAACGGAUCUCUUGGUCUGGCAUCGAUGAAGAACGCAGCGAAAUGCGAUAAGUAAUGUGAAUUGCGAAUUCAGUGAAUCAUCGAAUCUUUGAACGCACAUUGCGCCCCUUGGUAUCCGAGGGGCAUGCCUGUUCGAGCGUCAUUAUGACCACUCAAGCCUAGCUGGUAUUGGGGUUCGCGGUCUCGCGGCCCUUAAAAUCAGUGGCGGUGCCUCUGGCUCUAAGCGUAUUAAUUUAUCUCGCUAUUGGGUCCGGUGGUUGCUGCCAACAACCCCCAACUUCUAAGGUUGACCUCGGAUCAGGUAGGGAUACCGCUGAACUUAAGCAUAUCAAUAAGCGGAGGA
This 577-nucleotide ribosomal RNA is filed under the name uncultured fungus. Its description in RNAcentral is "eukaryotic LSU rRNA". The stretch from base 226 to 376 matches the Rfam family "5.8S ribosomal RNA". The record is from RNAcentral. Lineage: Eukaryota; Fungi.